GGAUGUGAGGGGCACCUGGCUCCAGCAUUUGUCAGCCCACUGAUCAGCAGGGUUGACUUGGCUGAUCUGGUUGGCUAGGUGGUGUGCCCUUCCUCACGAUCUGUGUGUAACCCUCCUGAAGCCGCAUGCUAGGCCAAAGAGAGGUUGGAUCUUCAGUCACGGUGUCUGAGUAGCUGUGCUCCCCCGCUGGAAGCUGCAAACCAACUCUUAAGUUCCAUUUGUAGGAGAAGAUAGAGUGGUCAAGCUUCAGAGACUGCGGACACAUCCCAAGGAGGCACCGCAUGUGGCAGUCAUCUUUG
Molecule: unclassified non-coding RNA, 299 nt
Organism: Vulpes vulpes (red fox)
Lineage: Eukaryota; Metazoa; Chordata; Mammalia; Carnivora; Canidae
Gene: 7SK
Rfam family: 7SK RNA
About the family: 7SK was discovered as an abundant small nuclear RNA in the mid-70s but a possible function has only recently been suggested. Two independent studies have found that 7SK RNA binds the CDK9/cyclin T complex (known as elongation factor P-TEFb).
Source: Ensembl